Molecule: ribosomal RNA, 488 nt
Filed under: uncultured bacterium
Lineage: Bacteria
Description: bacterial SSU rRNA
Rfam family: Bacterial small subunit ribosomal RNA
Source: RNAcentral
GAUGAACGCUAGCGGCAGGCCUAACACAUGCAAGUCGAGGGGUAGAAGGAGCUUGCUCCUUUGAGACCGGCGCACGGGUGCGUAACGCGUAUGCAAUCUACCUUGUACAGGGGAAUAGCCCAGAGAAAUUUGGAUUAAUGCCCCAUAGUAUAUAACCUUCGCAUGUUGGUUAUAUUAAAGUUUAGGCGGUACAAGAUGAGCAUGCGUCCCAUUAGUUAGUUGGUAAGGUAACGGCUUACCAAGACGAUGAUGGGUAGGGGUCCUGAGAGGGAGAUCCCCACACUGGUACUGAGACACGGACCAGACUCCUACGGGAGGCAGCAGUGAGGAAUAUUGGUCAAUGGUCGCAAGACUGAACCAGCCAUGCCGCGUGCAGGAAGACGGUCCUAUGGAUUGUAAACUGCUUUAUACAGAGAAACCUCCACCGUGUGGGAGGCUUGACGGUACUGUAGGAAUAAAGGAUCGGCUAACUCCGUGCCAGCAGCCGC